GAGUUCCUAUGGGGGGCAGCAGUGGGGAAUAUUGCACAAUGGGCGAAAGCCUGAUGCAGCAACGCCGCGUGGAGGAUGAAGGUUUUCGGAUUGUAAACUCCUUUUGUUAGAGGAGAUAAUGACGGUAUCUAACGAAUAAGCACCGGCUAACUCCGUGCCAGCAGCCGCGGUAAUACGGAGGGUGCAAGCGUUACUCGGAAUCACUGGGCGUAAAGAGCGCGUAGGCGGGAUAGCAAGUCAGAUGUGAAAUCCUAUGGCUUAACCAUAGAACUGCAUUUGAAACUGUUAUUCUAGAGUAUGGGAGG
RNAcentral lists this ribosomal RNA (305 nucleotides) under uncultured bacterium. Its description in RNAcentral is "bacterial SSU rRNA". It matches the Rfam family "Bacterial small subunit ribosomal RNA", at positions 333 to 655 of the family's 1533-position model. The record is from RNAcentral.